AGGACAGACGGACAGCACCCCGGCUGCUCAGAGGGCUGAGGACCCAGCAAACCCCUCGGAGCAGGAGCCCAGCUGAGGGGGCGGGACCACACGCGACGGGCGCGCGGUCCGAUUGGCCGAGCGCCACAGAACCUGCUCGGUCCUUUGAUUGGUGUGAACGGCGACGCGCCCUCUCGAAUGCCUCGCUCGGAUUGGCCAGUUUCUCGGCCCAGACCUGGACGGUGGCCAGAGGAGGACAAGAGGCUUCUGUGCGGGAUGAAGGGACGACUCGGGAGGACGUCUGAGCUGCACGUCUACCUGCGGCUGGGAUCCAGGGGCCUGGCGGCCACCUCUGUGAUGUCGGUGCUGCUGGUGGCGCCUGAGCGGACCGGCGGCAGCGUGUCCCGAGCCCGAGAUCCAAAAGAUAACUCUCGCUCUUGAAUACUGUCUGGGAACAACUUGUCAUGCCUGCUCUGUGGAAUUGGUGUUCAAAAAUGAAAUGCAAAAUGCAGACUGGCCCAGCACAUACUGGUUACUGGUACUCCGGGGAGAACAGGAGACGUUAAAUAGAGGAUAUCUUUGUUGUGCUGCUUUCUGCCUGAUGCCAGUCGAUCUGUUACAAGUCAUCAGUUCAUGAGAUCCAUUUCAAAUUCUGGUGAAGAAGGAAGAAUUGACCCUUGAAAGGUUCAACAUUUUAUAAUAAUUUUGAAAGAGGGAAGCCCGUCCGCAGGACAGUGGCCCCAGUGUGCUCCUCCCUGAUGCCAGCAGGCCCCAGAGCUGACAUUGAGGCAUUCGCUCCCCCACAGUCUUGCCUCUGCUCCUGUGGUUUGGCACAGUCGCAUCCUUCCUCCAUUCCGGGGCUUGGCCGCUGGAUGAAGCCACACGGGGUACACCUGGAGCGGGAAGGUGCAGGGAGCCGAGGACACAGAGGCACUCACCACAAUCCAUUCUCAGAACCCACUGCCUUCCUUUCUCUCCUCUGCACAGGGCAGGGGCCUGCUGCACCCAUCAUCUCCAUCACAUACAGGGCCUCUCUAUGUGCCCAUCUAACCUCAGCAGGGCCCCCGCACAGACAGGGGCAGCCUCUGAGAGGCAGGUCCUGGAGGCUGGGACCCUCCUUGGUCCAGUAGAGCUGUGCUGUGGAUGGGGCAGCCUCGCUGGGGGAGGGGUGGGGAGAGAGUACUGGGGUGGAGUGAGGUGGCACAGGUCUCCCUUCAGGCUGCCAAUGCCCAGACAGCCCCAGUGGCAGUGGUCUGGGCCCACUCCCUGACAGUGGUUCUGCUAGCAUUUCUCUCCCCGUUGAAGUGUGCAGGAGGCAGCCAAUCAA
This is a long non-coding RNA of Myotis daubentonii (Daubenton's bat), 1306 nucleotides long. RefSeq lists it as uncharacterized. Lineage: Eukaryota; Metazoa; Chordata; Mammalia; Chiroptera; Vespertilionidae. The record is from RefSeq and is a predicted model, not a curated record.